RNAcentral lists this ribosomal RNA (392 nucleotides) under uncultured bacterium. RNAcentral's name for it is "partial 16S ribosomal RNA". It matches the Rfam family "Bacterial small subunit ribosomal RNA", at positions 523 to 918 of the family's 1533-position model. The record is from RNAcentral.
AUACGUAGGGGGCAAGCGUUAUCCGGAUUUAUUGGGUUUAAAGGGAGCGCAGGCGGAGAUGCAAGCGUGACGUCAAAUUUCGGGGCUCAACCCCGUCUCGCGUCGCGAACUGCGUCCCUUGGUUGCGGGAAGGGGAGGCGGAACGUGUGGGGUAGCGGGCAAAUGCAUAGAUAUCACGAGGAACUCCGAUUGCGCAGGCAGCUUACUAAACUACUACUGACGCUCAGGCACGAAGGCGUGGGGAUCAAACAGGAUUAGAUACCCUGGUAGUCCACGCAGUAAACGAUGAUUACUAGCUGUUUGCGAUACAAUGUAAGCGGCUGAGCGAAAGCGUUAAGUAAUCCACCUGGGGAGUACGUUCGCAAGAAUGAAACUCAAAGGAAUUGACGGGG